UUUGCUGGGGAAGACAGUCUGGGUUAUUCCUGCUUCAGGUAAAGGCAAACCCACCUGUGGGAUUGCUUUUGCUCAGGGACCCGGAUAUACUUGGUGGGUAAUGUGGGAAGAUGGGGAAGUCCAAUGUAUACCUCAAGGGGAUUUGAUUUUAGGGGAAAACAGCCAAUGAACUCAAUUGUAUGUUGUUGCCUGCUAUGUAAUACUUUUAUAGUCCACCAACUAAAUGUCUUCAGGUCACGAGCGACUGGCCCUGACUUCCCUCCGACCAUCAUCCCAACAAAGAAUGAACUUUGAUAGAACCAGACGAAUUCUGCAGUAAAGGAACGAUCAUCAUCAACAGGCAACAAUCCAACACUGCACACUGCCUCUCCUGUUCUGAAAGAUUGUUACAAGAGAUGGAACCCAACAUCAUGGACAGAAUGGACUCAGCAGCUUUAUAGGGAUUGGUCCAUGCACUAAGAAAUGAUCUCUCUCUCUCCAUCUGUGUGUGUGUAUGCGUGCAUAUAUAUAUAUAUAUACGUGAUGGUAUAUUGAAAAUAUGGGAUCUGAGCAUGACGUGAAUGGUAUGGAAUAAGGGGUGGAUAAUGUACUGGGUUCAGCAGUAGCAGUCAUUUUUCUCCUUGGUAGCUGGUGCAGCACUGUGUUUUGACUUUUGGCCUGGGAACAGAGCUGAUAACAAGCGAUAGUUGAUAAUGCUCAAAUGUUUGGUCUGGCCAAGGACUUUUCUGAGCCUCAUGCUCUGCCAGGGAGGAGGGGAAGCUGGGAGGAAGCAGAGACAGGACACCUGACCCAAACUGACCAAAGAGGUAUUCCAUACCACAGCAUGUCAUGCCCAGGAUGUAACUGAGAGUUACCUGGAAGGGCUAGGGCACUGCGGGGUUGGACGAGGUAUCGGUUGGUGCUCGGUCGGGUGGAGUGGGGCAAGUCAUCCAUCAGCUGGUGCUGAGAUGUUGUAUUCUCUUCCCUUAUUAUUUCCAUUAUCAUUAUUAUUAUUGGUGGUAGCAGCAGUGAUUUGUGUUAUACCUUAGUUACUAAACUGUUCUUAUCUCAA
Molecule: long non-coding RNA, 1051 nt
Organism: Pezoporus occidentalis (night parrot)
Lineage: Eukaryota; Metazoa; Chordata; Aves; Psittaciformes; Psittacidae
Exons: 3
Source: RefSeq, a predicted model, not a curated record